AUGAGUGGUCCAAACCGCUGUUUUGAGCGUGAAACGCUCUCGGUGGACGUCCACGGACAGCACCGGUUUGCUCUUUCAAGGCGGCAGCGCGGGUUCGAAUCCCGUUGGGGAUGCCA
RNAcentral lists this transfer RNA (116 nucleotides) under Microlunatus capsulatus. RNAcentral's name for it is "tRNA-OTHER". Lineage: Bacteria; Bacillati; Actinomycetota; Actinomycetes; Propionibacteriales; Propionibacteriaceae. The record is from RNAcentral.